Molecule: ribosomal RNA, 253 nt
Filed under: uncultured bacterium
Lineage: Bacteria
Description: partial 16S ribosomal RNA
Rfam family: Bacterial small subunit ribosomal RNA
Source: RNAcentral
UACGAAGGGGGCUAGCGUUGCUCGGAAUCACUGGGCGUAAAGCGCACGUAGGCGGCUUUUUAAGUCAGGGGUGAAAUCCCGGAGCUCAACUCCGGAACUGCCUUUGAUACUGGGAAGCUUGAGUCCGGGAGAGGUGAGUGGAACUCCGAGUGUAGAGGUGAAAUUCGUAGAUAUUCGGAAGAACACCAGUGGCGAAGGCGAGUCCCUGGACAACACCUGACACUGAGGCACGAAAGCUAGGGGAGCAAACAGG